RNAcentral lists this ribosomal RNA (292 nucleotides) under uncultured bacterium. Its description in RNAcentral is "partial 16S ribosomal RNA". It matches the Rfam family "Bacterial small subunit ribosomal RNA", at positions 505 to 796 of the family's 1533-position model. The record is from RNAcentral.
GUGCCAGCAGCCGCGGUAAUACGUAGGUGGCAAGCGUUGUCCGGAAUUAUUGGGCGUAAAGCGCGCGCAGGCGGUCCUUUAAGUCUGAUGUGAAAGCCCACGGCUCAACCGUGGAGGGUCAUUGGAAACUGGGGGACUUGAGUGCAGAAGAGGAAAGCGGAAUUCCACGUGUAGCGGUGAAAUGCGUAGAGAUGUGGAGGAACACCAGUGGCGAAGGCGGCUUUCUGGUCUGUAACUGACGCUGAGGCGCGAAAGCGUGGGGAGCAAACAGGAUUAGAAACCCCCGUAGUCC